Molecule: ribosomal RNA, 425 nt
Filed under: uncultured prokaryote
Description: bacterial SSU rRNA
Rfam family: Bacterial small subunit ribosomal RNA
Source: RNAcentral
UGGGGAAUCAUGGUCAAUGGGCGAAAGCCUGAACCUGCGACGCCGCGUGAGUGAUGAAGGUCGUAAGAUCGUAAAAUUCUUUUCAGGGAUCUUAAAGCACAACCGUCAACAACGGCUGUGUGUGACUCUCCCUGGAGGAAGCCCCAGCCAACUACGUGCCAGCAGCUGCGGUAAUACGUAGGGGGCGAGCGUUAUUCGGAAUUACUGGGUGUAAAGGGUAUGUAGUCGGCCCUUCAAGUCGCGUGUCAAAGUCCAGUACUCAACGCUGGGUGUGCGCGCGAUACUGACGGGAUUGAGGGCUGGAGAGGUGAGCGGAAUUCCCGGUGUAGUGGUAAAAUACGUAGAGAUCGGGAGGAACACCAGCGGCGCAGGCGGCUCACUAGACAGUGUCUGACGCUAAGAUACGAAAGCGUGGGGAGCAAACA